UGGGGAAUAUUGCACAAUGGGCGCAAGCCUGAUGCAGCCAUGCCGCGUGUAUGAAGAAGGCCUUCGGGUUGUAAAGUACUUUCAGCGGGGAGGAAGGCGAUAAGGUUAAUAACCUUGUCGAUUGACGUUACCCGCAGAAGAAGCACCGGCUAACUCCGUGCCAGCAGCCGCGGUAAUACGGAGGGUGCAAGCGUUAAUCGGAAUUACUGGGCGUAAAGCGCACGCAGGCGGUAUGUCAAGUCGGAUGUGAAAUCCCCGGGCUCAACCUGGGAACUGCAUUCGAAACUGGCAGGCUAGAGUCUUGUAGAGGGGUGUAGAAUUCCAGGUGUAGCGGUGAAAUGCGUAGAGAUCUGGAGGAAUACCGGUGGCGAAGGCGGCCCCCUGGACAAAGACUGACGCUCAGGUGCGAAAGCGUGGGGAGCAAACA
Molecule: ribosomal RNA, 427 nt
Filed under: uncultured bacterium
Lineage: Bacteria
Description: partial 16S ribosomal RNA
Rfam family: Bacterial small subunit ribosomal RNA
Source: RNAcentral